Chiloscyllium plagiosum (whitespotted bambooshark) is the source of this 212-nucleotide non-coding RNA. NCBI's taxonomy places the organism in Eukaryota, Metazoa, Chordata, Chondrichthyes, Orectolobiformes, Hemiscylliidae. The record is from RefSeq and is a predicted model, not a curated record.
UUGUGAAUGCAUUCCAUUUUCUUCAAAAGAAUUAACAGCUACAACACUAACAACCAUCACAAGUGGAUCUACUGCCAGUUCCACAACUGAAGAAACAACCACAUCUGUACCACCAACUACAACUGGCUCUACCAGUGCUUCGACAAGAGAACAAACAAUGACAACAACAGGGAUAACCACCACACCGGGUUCAACUGCCAGUUCCACAACGG